UCAAACAACGAUUGAAUCAGUUCCUGAGCCACAAGUUAGGAGAUCACAAAGGGAAAGAAGAUCUGCAUUGCCCAGUGAUUAUGUUACAUAUUUAUUGGAGAGCGAUUUUAAUAUCGAGCAUAUUGUUGAUCCUGUAACUUAUAAUCAAGCAUUGACAAGUCCUGAGGCAGAUAAAUGGAUAGCUGCCAUGGAAGAUGAAA
RNAcentral lists this long non-coding RNA (200 nucleotides) under Olea europaea (common olive). RNAcentral's name for it is "long non-coding RNA (OEUR_LNC011978)". The record is from RNAcentral. Lineage: Eukaryota; Viridiplantae; Streptophyta; Magnoliopsida; Lamiales; Oleaceae.